Molecule: ribosomal RNA, 512 nt
Filed under: Calligrapha amelia
Lineage: Eukaryota; Metazoa; Arthropoda; Insecta; Coleoptera; Chrysomelidae
Description: partial 16S ribosomal RNA
Rfam family: Bacterial large subunit ribosomal RNA (bases 385-512)
Source: RNAcentral
GUCUUUUUGUUAAAAAUUUAAAGUCAGGCCUGCCCACUGAAACUUUAAAUGGCCGUGGUAUUUUGACCGUGCUAAGGUAGCAUAAUCAUUAGUUUUUUAAUUGAAAGCUGGAAUGAAAGGUUUGAUAAAAAAAUGACUGUCUCUAUUUAAUUUUAUUAGAAAUUUAUUUUUAAGUUCAAAAGCUUAAUUUUUAUUAAAAGACGAGAAGACCCUAUAGAGUUUAAUAAUUUAAGGUAAUUAAUAUUUUAGAAUUAAUUUAUUUAUUUUUUAGUAUUAUUUAAUUGGGGUGAUUGAAAAAUUUAAUUAACUUUUUUUAUAUUUAACCAUUAAUUUAUGAUAAUUUGAUCCAAUUUUUUUUUGAUUAUAAGAUAAAAUUACCUUAGGGAUAACAGCGUAAUUUUUUUAGAAAGUUCAAAUUAAAAGAAAAGAUUGCGACCUCGAUGUUGGAUUAAAAUUAAAUUUUGGUGUAGAAGCUAAAAAUUUUAAGUCUGUUCGACUUUUAAAAUUUUACA